GGCUCCAAAAACUCUUUCCUUCUUCAAUCGACGACGGCUGGGCAAUCUUAAAAAUCCUAACCCCAAUCUUCCCCAUGCCCACAGCGGUGUCCACUCUUAUUCUCUCAUCGACGGCUCCCUCACCAUCUUCUUCCUCUUCUUCUUCCUCCGCUAGGGCACAACAGCACUGCAGCAUCCCAAAUUUUGUGCUCCUUCCUCUUCUCCCUAUGAACCUCUCUCCCUUGUCAAUUCAAGCUCUACCUCGCUGGUUCUCAUACUCACGGUAUUGUAUCUUGUUAUUCGUAGAACUGCAGAUGCCAUUACAAAUCUUGCGCAUGAGAACAUUUUCAUCAAAACGCGAGUUAGGAUGGAAGGUGGGAAUAUUCCUCCGCUUGUUGAGUUGCUUGAAUUUUACUGACACCAAGGUUGAAAGACUACUGCUGGGGCAUUAUGAACAUUGGCCUUUAAGAAUGAUGAGAAUAAAAACCAGAUUGUUGAGUGCAAUGCUCUCCCCACACUGAUUUUGAUGCUUCAUUCUGAGGAUGUUGCUAUACAUUAUGAAGCAGAGCUUUGCAACCUGUUAUUGAAUUACUCAGUUCUUGUUGCUCUGAGAGGCAAAGGGAGGCAACAUUAUUACUUGGACAAUUUGCGGCAACUGAUUUGGAUUGUAAGGUGAAUAAACUUGAUGAUUUAUUAUUUUAUAGCAACAAUUUUGAAAUGGAGAGUUGAGAAUCUGUAUACCUAUUAAAUUUGAUUUAUUGGAAAACAGAAGGGUAAAUUAUUCACUUUAUAAGAGUGUUGUUGUGUGUAUAUACCAUUACUUCAUUAAAUAUUUGUUUUAUUACAAAGAAUGUCUUUCACCCUUCAAUUUUUAUUUCUCAUCCUCCUCCUUUUACUUGAUUUUCUUACUGAAUGAAUAAAAAAUUUGCAUAUUAAUAUUGUACAAAGAGGUGUUGUUUGACCCUUAAUUGAGCUGCUUUAGUCACCUGAUGUACAACUUCGAGAAAUGUCAGCUUUUGCAUUGGGGAGGUUUGGCACAGAAGGCGAGGGAUGGAUGGUUGGGUGUCUCUCAGAGGUGUGCUACUGAGUAUAACAGGUGUCCUUUGGCACCGAAAGAUUAUCACGAUCGGACUUGGAGUUAAAUUUGUAGAGACAAUGUGUAAGCUUCCAUCACUCUUGUAUUCUUUAAUUGUAUGUAACAUUCUAAAAUGGUUUGAUAUGUAACUAUGUUCAUAUAAUCAUGUUAUGUUUAGGUUCAAAUUGGUUUUUAGUCAAGGAAGAAGUACUAACCUUUUCGAUAUCUUUUGGAAAAUGCAGUUUUUGAAGUUCAUCAAAUUAUAUACUUGCAUAUGUUGUUGAUUAAAAUCUCCACUGAUUUAGUAUCUGUAACUUGAAUACACUUUUUGCUAAGAUGAGACGCUCUAGUUUACUUGCCAGGCGCUAAAAGUUGUUCUCAACCUUCUACUUCAAAUCCCAGCACUUCAUAAUCCAUUUUCAUUCAAAAGGUUUUGCCACAAUCCAUUGGAGCAAUGAAGCCAUAUGUACGCCAAUUCAUUGAUGUAUAGACUUUUUUAUAGGUUUGGUAGGAAUUUUUUUUGUUCAAAUGUAGUUAUUUAAAUAGUUUGUUCAUACCAAAAUACAUUUGUACCAACAAUUAAAGCAAUAUUACAAAGUGUGUUUCUUUCUAUUAAAGCGUUCACCGUUUUUCUA
Molecule: long non-coding RNA, 1689 nt
Organism: Cucumis melo (muskmelon)
Lineage: Eukaryota; Viridiplantae; Streptophyta; Magnoliopsida; Cucurbitales; Cucurbitaceae
Exons: 9
Source: RefSeq, a predicted model, not a curated record